UUCGAGCCCGGACGAAUCAGAGUCAGAAUUGACGCUCCACCUGAUAGGGGUCUGUUGGGCAGUUAGAUAAAUCUCAUCUGUUUAGGGAAAUGAAAUUACGUUGAUUAUAUCUGUUAUGAGUAUGUUAGAAAGUAACAGACGGGUAGAAAAUGUCCGGAGAUUAGUAAAUUUGGUAUUAAUGAGUAUUGGUAAAAUUAAAUGGUGAGAUUUAGAUAAUUGCGAUCCCAUUUUUCUCCAAAUCUGCAUAACUGAAGACUACUUGUUCAAAUCUCAGGCUGAAAAGAAUAUUUUUUUUUAAUUUGACUUUUUUUAUAUUUUUUAUUUUUUUCUUUAUGCUGUCAAUUUUUGCAAUGUUUUUUUGUUUUUCAAUUUAAGCCAAAAUUUAUGAAUAUGGUGUGAUGAUAUGGAAAAGUUUAAAAAUGUGUAUGAGAAGCAAAAAACGUUAAAUAUGAAAUUUUCGUGUUUCUGCCUGGGGUGAAGUCGUUAAAAAUUCAUUUCUUAGCCAAUUUUCAACCGAUUUUCUUGAAAAAUUUCAAGUACAUGCCUAAAAUCAAAUUGGAAAGGAUAAUAAUUGAAAAUUGACGACGCAAGAAUGAUUGCAAUGAGAGCACCGUGAAAUAUUAUCUUCCCUCAAAACGAAAAAAAAAAAACGACUCGCCAUUGAGACUAUAGAGAGGUCCAAACGUAUUGAAAGAUAAAAGGAAAAAUUUAACUUCAUGAGUACAUUAACAAUAACCUGCAUGAAUACCAGUUCACGGCAGGUAUUUGAAAAAAUAUUUUCUGCAAGCUUCUGACGGCGAAUCGCGCUCUUAGCCAUAAAGUCCCAAAAGGUUCCAAGCUCAACAGAGGAGUUCAAAGCAACAGGCUAUGAGUUGGUAAGGAAUAUGAACCUAAUCCUCUCCAAUAUAAAGUCUGGUUUCUGUUUUAAAAAUAAAAAAAAAAUUAUUGAAUCAACAAAAAAAAUUAAAAUUUGGAACUGGAAAUGAUUCAAGGGUUGGAGUUAUUAAUCCCUUUGGCGUAGCAGGGAACUAAUUCCACUUAGAGAGUUUGAGUUAGUUCUCGCUCCGUGGGAACGAAAUAAUUUUUAGUAAACUGGAUUUAGUUCCUAUGCUAGAAGGAAUACCGGCGAUUUUAGAUUUCCAUUUUACAGAAGAGCUGCAACACAAAAUGACACUUACUAUAUUGUAACGAUGAAUUACCGAACUACUUUUAAGAUAAAAGUCUGAACACACUACCUGCUACAGUAAAGGUAGAAAUGUGAACGGACCUUUAGUAAUUAAGAAACUACCCUCUGAACGCAUCCAAAGAAAUUCCCUCGACUGCUGAAUAUCCCAAAAUAUCCCACUGGACUGGAAGUAUGAAGCGCCCCCUCUUGGAAAGGAAGCUUCGAGAAGCAAAGACGAGAACCUUCGAAGACAUUCUCGAAUUCCGAAUUUCAGGUAUAAAAGGGCAGCGUGGACACCGACCGGAUACA
Long non-coding RNA from Episyrphus balteatus (marmalade hoverfly), 1474 nucleotides. RefSeq lists it as uncharacterized. The transcript has 3 exons. Lineage: Eukaryota; Metazoa; Arthropoda; Insecta; Diptera; Syrphidae. The record is from RefSeq and is a predicted model, not a curated record.